CUUGUGGCCAUAUCACCUUUAAAACACCUGAUCUCGUACGAUCACCGAAGUUAAGUAAUGUCAAACCUGGUCAGUGCUUAGAUGGCUGAUCGCUUGGUAAUAUUAGGUCCUGUAA
Acanthosepion pharaonis is the source of this 115-nucleotide non-coding RNA. The record is from the annotation of a GenBank genome assembly. Lineage: Eukaryota; Metazoa; Mollusca; Cephalopoda; Sepiida; Sepiidae.